CCCUUAGCUGUUCUGGGCUGCACGCGCGCUACACUGACGCACGCAACAGGUGCCUGCUCCGAGAGGACUGGGUAAUCAUUUGAGUGUGCGUCGUGAUGGGGAUAGAAUAUUGUAAUUAUUACUCUUCAACGAGGAAUUCCUAGUAAGCGCCAGUCAGCAGCUUGCGCUGAUUACGUCCCUGCCCUUUGUACACACCGCCCGUCGCUCCUACCGAUGGGUGAUCCGGUGAAUGAUUCGGACUUCAGCGGCUCCCCUGGGGUGCGCCGGAGAAAGUUUUGUGAACCUUAUCACUUGGAGGAAGGAGAAGUCGUAACA
This 315-nucleotide ribosomal RNA is filed under the name uncultured eukaryote. RNAcentral's name for it is "partial 18S ribosomal RNA". It matches the Rfam family "Eukaryotic small subunit ribosomal RNA", at positions 1470 to 1796 of the family's 1831-position model. The record is from RNAcentral.